AAAAAAAACAAAGCAAAACAAAUCAAUGAAUGGAAUGAAAAUGAAGUGACCUAUGCAUAUGCGAGGAAUUUCGAGAACGAAUAUGACCUACACAGUCACAAUGCCUCUAUGUCUCGACGACGAACACAACGUAGGGGAAGAUCAACAAGAAGAUGGUUUGAGGCUUGGAGGAAAAUAAUAUGAUGAACUAUUUGGAGGAACGAAGGCAGAAAUGAAUUGAGAG
This 223-nucleotide long non-coding RNA is filed under the name Vigna radiata. RNAcentral's name for it is "long non-coding RNA (VRAD_LNC004846)". Lineage: Eukaryota; Viridiplantae; Streptophyta; Magnoliopsida; Fabales; Fabaceae. The record is from RNAcentral.